UCACUUUCAGAAGCUAUGCAAAGCUCGCUCACUGAAAGCGCUAAUUUUUUGGAAGGCGAAGAGGCGCUGUUCAGGUACUGUCUACGGGAGUUGUUCCCCAAGGAAGUGGGAGGGGAAGGUCCCGGUCUGGCGCAGUUACACGGUGCCAUGCAAAGAUCUCUGAUUCAAAGCGCCGAUCUUUUUGGCGACGAGGAAAAAUUGGUCGCCAAUGAGGUGCUACGGGAUCGGCGGCAACUUUGCGUGGAUCCAGACUUAGAGCUGGGGAUCGAUGGAUCAUUUAAGAAGUUUUAUCCUGACUAGAACCCCCUCAACUAGUAGAUAUUCAUGGUCACAUAGUCCAAAUCAUGGUCGUUUGGUCGCCAUAUUUAAAAAUGUCCCCCACAUGGCUAGAUUUUUUGUUUAAGUAUAUAUCCCCACAGAAAGAAAGUUUUAUUGAUUUUUUGAAGGCAAACAAGUGUUGCAAUUAGAUAAUUACAAUAUUCUUAUGAUC
Long non-coding RNA from Photinus pyralis (common eastern firefly), 490 nucleotides. RefSeq lists it as uncharacterized. The transcript is spliced from 2 exons. The record is from RefSeq and is a predicted model, not a curated record. Lineage: Eukaryota; Metazoa; Arthropoda; Insecta; Coleoptera; Lampyridae.